GUGUAAUUACCAGUCUUGCCUCCCCACAAAGUCUGUAGGUUUGUGCUGUGUUUGUAUGUGUGAUCUGAGCGCCAUCCGGUGGACAGACGACAUUUUUAUUUGAUACUCGCGCCAUUUUUGCGUUGAGUAUGGGCGCAACCAAGUGCAUAAUUGGAGGGGGGCACUCACCCAUUUUCCUUAACAAACGGAAAUAUAUUAAAAACGAGUAGACGUAAAUAAAUAGAAUAGAUGAAAAGACAGAUCAGUUUGCAAGGUUCAUUAAAGGGGGACAUAUAGAAAACAUUUUCUACUGUAUAUUGGGAGGGAAAGAUUGGUAUCACCUCAACAUUGGCGGGGACACGCCCCCCCAAAAGAAUACGUGGUUACGCCCAUAGUUGUAGGAGACACAGCAGCGACGGAGUCGGAGUAGGAGACACAUUUUUCCUCAGGAGUCACGACACAGCAGACACGGGGUUUUCUUUCUUCAAUUUUAACUUUUCUCAGGAGUUUAAGGCCGACGUUUCUGCAGACAUCAUGGCUGGAAAUGCACAGCAGGGCAACCAACAGGCUGUACCACAAGACGUGGUGGCGAGACGAGCGUCCCUGCAGACUUUAAUUGAUGAUGCAUUGCAGGAGCUUCAGAACGUUGUAUCACUUCAAAGACAGCUGUUCCGUGCGCAUCUGGAGAAGGGACACUGCGACCAAUCAGCUCCUGCUACACACCGACUUGAGAUGGCUUAGUAUAUAUAAUCACACACACGCACUAUAAU
Molecule: long non-coding RNA, 749 nt
Organism: Ictalurus punctatus (channel catfish)
Lineage: Eukaryota; Metazoa; Chordata; Actinopteri; Siluriformes; Ictaluridae
Source: Ensembl